This 253-nucleotide ribosomal RNA is filed under the name uncultured bacterium. RNAcentral's name for it is "partial 16S ribosomal RNA". It matches the Rfam family "Bacterial small subunit ribosomal RNA", at positions 524 to 776 of the family's 1533-position model. The record is from RNAcentral.
GACAGAGGGUGCAAACGUUGCUCGGAAUUACUGGGCGUAAAGCGCGUGUAGGUGGAUUGGUGUGUCAGAUGUGAAAUCCCUGGGCUCAACCCAGGAACUGCACCUGAAACUACCAGCCUUGAGUGGUGGAGAGGGAAGUGGAAUUCCUGGUGUAGAGGUGAAAUUCGUAGAUAUCAGGAGGAACACCAGUGGCGAAGGCGGCUUCCUGGACACCAACUGACGCUGAGACGCGAAAGCGUGGGGAGCAAACAGG